GGAAAAGCUCUCACUCUUACGUAACUCCUCACAUGCAGCAGUGACAGACACAAUCUCUGGCUUGAUAUUCUCCACUUGCUCGCUGAAUUGUAGCUUGAAGAGAAUGGCAUUGAGGCGAGGCCGCAGUCGGGGCACAGUGCCCAUCUAGUAGGGCAUGCGGAAGGAACCCAAAAAGAUUGCUGCCAGAAAAUGAGAUAUUAAGACAUGUUCUUCUCG
Molecule: long non-coding RNA, 216 nt
Filed under: Homo sapiens (human)
Lineage: Eukaryota; Metazoa; Chordata; Mammalia; Primates; Hominidae
Description: HSALNT0095423
Source: RNAcentral